This 468-nucleotide ribosomal RNA is filed under the name uncultured bacterium. RNAcentral describes it as "partial 16S ribosomal RNA". It matches the Rfam family "Bacterial small subunit ribosomal RNA", at positions 28 to 507 of the family's 1533-position model. The record is from RNAcentral.
GACGAACGCUGGCGGCGUGCUUAACACAUGCAAGUCGAACGGAAAGGCCCUGCUUUUGUGGGGUGCUCGAGUGGCGAACGGGUGAGUAACACGUGAGUAACCUGCCCUUGACUUUGGGAUAACUUCAGGAAACUGGGGCUAAUACCGGAUAGGAGCUCCUGCUGCAUGGUGGGGGUUGGAAAGUUUCGGCGGUUGGGGAUGGACUCGCGGCUUAUCAGCUUGUUGGUGGGGUAGUGGCUUACCAAGGCUUUGACGGGUAGCCGGCCUGAGAGGGUGACCGGCCACAUUGGGACUGAGAUGCGGCCCAGACUCCUACGGGAGGCAGCAGUGGGGAAUAUUGCACAAUGGGCGGAAGCCUGGUGCAGCAACGCCGCGUGCGGGAUGACGGCCUUCGGGUUGUAGACCGCUUUCGCCUGUGACGAAGCGUGAGUGACGGUAAUGGGUAAAGAAGCACCGGCUAACUACGUG